CUGUUGUGAACAUCCAUGUUAUUGGAAAAGAACACAUUUUCAGUGUAUUUUAGAUGUUUAAAUUCUGACUUUUGGCUAUUAAAUGGUUUACACAAUAAGCCAAGACCAAAUCAAUAAACAUUUUAUGAGAUUCUGUGCCUCUCAGGUUAAUGUGUUAAACAGUAACAUGGGGCUUGGUGCAGUGGCUUAUGCCGAUAAUCCCAGCACUCUGGGACUACAGACAGGCAUGCACCACCAUGCCCGGCUAAUUUUUGUAUUUUUAGUAGAGACGGGAUUUCAUUAUAUUGGCCAGGCUAGUCUCGAACUCCUGACCUUGUGAUCCUCCUGCCUCGGCCUCCCAAAGUGUUGGGAUUACAGGCAUGAGCCACCGUGCCCAGCAGGCUCAUUUUUUAACUUUGCAAUAUUUUAACUUGACAGACCAUCGUUUGAUGUCCAUUUUACCACUGUCUACAUUAGUUGAGGUCCUCAAUAUAUCUUCUUUAUGAACCUAAGUCUCUUUGAUGUCAAAGUAUUAAAUAUCAUUGGUGCAUGCCUGCCAGCUACUUGGAAGGCUGAGGUGGGAGGAUCACUUGAGCCCAGGAUUUGAAGCCAGACUGGGCAAUGUAGCAAGUCCCCAUGUCUUAAAAAAAAAAA
This 633-nucleotide long non-coding RNA is filed under the name Homo sapiens (human). Its description in RNAcentral is "non-protein coding lnc-TEFM-6:1". Lineage: Eukaryota; Metazoa; Chordata; Mammalia; Primates; Hominidae. The record is from RNAcentral.